Rosa chinensis is the source of this 915-nucleotide long non-coding RNA. RefSeq lists it as uncharacterized. The transcript has 5 exons. The record is from RefSeq and is a predicted model, not a curated record. Lineage: Eukaryota; Viridiplantae; Streptophyta; Magnoliopsida; Rosales; Rosaceae.
CUUAGUCCCAAUCUCUCUCGCUCUCGCUCUCACCUCUCACUUUCGCUCUCACUCUCUCUCUCUCUCUCCGCCGGUCCAGCUCAAAGUCGCUACUUGGUCCGGUAGUUUACUCUCUCCGCCGCCUCAGCUCGAAGUCGAUUUCAAUUAUCUUGAGAAGCCAUCGCCGCCACCAAGAUCUCUCUCACUAUCGCCGCCGGUCUCGGGAUCUCUCUCACUAUCGCUGCCGGUGUCAGUGUCAAGAAAUAUAAAGAGCCUCCUUCUUCUAUUGGAGAUGCCUCCAAUAGGAUUAAUAAAAGGGGCGAUACAGUGGAUGAGAAGAUCAAGAAGCUUGAUGUUGAACUUAAUAGAUACAGAGAGCAUGUCAAGAAGACAAGGAGCUUUCAGCAAAAGUUGCCAAGAUUGUGGGAGCGACUCCCAUUGUUACAGAAGAUCACACUCAGCCAUCAAAAUCAGCAGCAGCAAACACUUGAUAUGAUAUGCUAGAGUUUAUAUAUGAUUACCACUACAUGAAAUUGUUGUGGCUUUGAAACCCCCAGGCCUGAGUUUUCAGGGAGGAUACCCGAGAAAGAGAAAGCUAUAUUAGGCUUAUCGUGGACAUGUUGAAAAUUGUUGAAGGGAUGAAGUCAUUCAGUCUCCGAUCAAUAUGCAAACACUUGAGAUGCUGGAGAAGGAGGAGAAGCUCCUUGGCAGCGUUGUAAUAAAGAAACACUACUGUUUCUAUGAGUCGCAUUUGUAAUUGAUUGGGGGUUCUUCAAAAUUGAAUCCUAAAGACGGUCUAGAGACGAAGGGGGAGACUCUUGGUGGAUUGGGUGUGCACUGAAAAUGGAGCAAGGCCAACCAGAGGUGAGCUAGGUUUUGAGUUCUUGGUGAAUAGGAGUGGGCAGCCUUAUCUGAUUCAGACAAAUACCUUAAUCA